UGUGAGCGUGCGGGCGUGAGGCCGGAAAUGGCGUCGUAGGGGUGCCGCCUGCGAGUAGGAGCUCCAGUUGGAAAGAUGAAGAGUAGGUCAGCAAGGACUAGUGCCAAAUGCAGGAAGAGGAGGAGUCAUUUUGUCCAAAAUUGUGCCAAGAUUUUCAUAAAGUAAAUUAAAUCCUGGAGAUGUUCCAGAAGACAAUCAAAGUUUGGCUAUGUGACCAUCAGCAACAAUAGUGGUGAAUAUAGAGUGAGUUAAUACAGUACAAAUGAUAUCCCUUUAUUUACAGGGUGGGAAGAGAAUGUUUACUUGAAAAUAGUCUUGUUCUGUAGAUUCUAA
Phasianus colchicus (ring-necked pheasant) is the source of this 333-nucleotide long non-coding RNA. RefSeq lists it as uncharacterized. The record is from RefSeq and is a predicted model, not a curated record. Lineage: Eukaryota; Metazoa; Chordata; Aves; Galliformes; Phasianidae.